Molecule: ribosomal RNA, 254 nt
Filed under: uncultured bacterium
Lineage: Bacteria
Description: partial 16S ribosomal RNA
Rfam family: Bacterial small subunit ribosomal RNA
Source: RNAcentral
UACAGAGGUGCCAAGCGUUAGGCGGAAUCACUGGGCUUAAAGCGCGUGUAGGCGGGUCGUUAAGUGUCCGAGUGAAAUCCCACGGCUCAACCGUGGAACUGCCGGGCAUACUGGCGAUCUUGAGGCAUUCAGGGGCGAGCGGAACAAAUGGUGGAGCGGUGAAAUGCGUAGAUAUCGGUAGGAGCACCAGUGGCGAAGGCGGUCUCCUGGGGCAUUCUUGACGCUGAGGCGCGAAAGCUGGGGAAGCAAACGGG